This 452-nucleotide ribosomal RNA is filed under the name uncultured bacterium. RNAcentral describes it as "bacterial SSU rRNA". It matches the Rfam family "Bacterial small subunit ribosomal RNA", at positions 29 to 506 of the family's 1533-position model. The record is from RNAcentral.
ACGAACGCUGGCGGCGUGCCUAACACAUGCAAGUCGAACGGAGCAGCAAUGCUCAGUGGCGAACGGGUGCGUAACACGUGAGGAACAUGUCUAUCGGCGGGGGAUAGCCGGCCCAACGGCCGGGUAAUACCGCGUACGACCUUCGGGGGGCAUCUCCUGGGGGUGAGAGCAGCAAUGCGCCGAUAGGGUGCCUCGCGGCCUAUCAGCUAGUUGGCGGGGUAACGGCCCACCAAGGCUACGACGGGUAGCUGGUCCGAGAGGAUGACCAGCCACAUUGGGACUGAGACACGGCCCAGACUCCUACGGGAGGCAGCAGUGGGGAAUCUUGCGCAAUGGGCGAAAGCCUGACGCAGCGACGCCGCGUGUGGGAUGACGGCCUUCGGGUUGUAAACCACUGUCGGGAGGGACGAAGAUCUGACGGUACCUCCAAAGGAAGCACCGGCUAACUCUGU